This 1176-nucleotide long non-coding RNA is filed under the name Homo sapiens (human). RNAcentral's name for it is "non-protein coding lnc-RECQL5-3:1". The record is from RNAcentral. Lineage: Eukaryota; Metazoa; Chordata; Mammalia; Primates; Hominidae.
CACUGGGCGUCUGAAGCUCAGAGCUCACCCCUGAGAUGGGCUCUCCUAGGCCUCCUGGGAUGAGGGAGCCACCAGGACCCAGUGCUGUGAUGCCUGCUCUUCCCUCUACCAGCACCUGCCCGCCCAGAGACCAGGGCACCCCUGAAGUCCAGCCCACCCCUGCAAAGGACACAUGGAAGGGCAAGCGGCCUCGAUCCCAGCAGGAGAACCCAGAGAGCCAGCCUCAGAAGAGGCCACGCCCCUCAGCCAAGCCCUCCGUCGUAGCUGAGGUCAAGGGCAGCGUCUCGGCCAGCGAACAGGGCACCUUGAAUCCCACGGCUCAAGACCCCUUCCAGCUCUCCGCUCCUGGCGUCUCCUUGAAGGAGGCUGCAAAUGUUGUGGUCAAGUGCCUCACCCCUUUCUACAAGGAGGGCAAGUUUGCUUCCAAGGAGUUGUUUAAAGGCUUUGCCCGCCACCUCUCACACUUGCUGACUCAGAAGACCUCUCCUGGAAGGAGCGUGAAAGAAGAGGCCCAGAACCUCAUCAGGCACUUCUUCCAUGGCCGGGCCCGGUGCGAGAGCGAAGCUGACUGGCAUGGCCUGUGUGGCCCCCAGAGAUGACCAACUGCUGGCUGGGCAGGGCCCGCGUCCUCCCCCAGAUUCUAGCAUGGGUCAUCCUGGGCCUCACCUGCUGAUGCCAGGGCCAUCGUCUUUUCUCAGUCCUUCUCCUUUCCAACCAUACUUGGCUUUGGGGAUGACCCCAGACACCCCCUGAAUCCAGGUCAGAGGUCAGCCCACCUUUCUUUCUGCUUGCAAAGCCUAUAGACCCUUCUCAGAGCGGUCCUCAUGGCUGGGUUUUCUGGGACACAUGUCGAGGACAGAAGGUGGAGGGUGGUGGAGCUGCUGCUGGAAGAAGGGGAAGGAAGAGUGGCCCCUCCCCGAGUUCUAAGUCAGGAUGAGGCCCACCUGUCCAAGGUAUCGGAACCUACCCAGGGGACCCUCAGAUCCUCCACCCACUCCCCCAUCCAUUACGAUGCCAGCUUCCAGCCUUGCCCAGGUCAGAGCUGUGGCAGAGGAGAGGCAGCCAGGCCCUGUUCCUGCUCAGCUCCUGCUCAGGAAGGCCAGGCCUGACAGAUGUUUGGGAGAGGAAUAAAGUUGUGUUGUUGUGGGGCAUGCAGGCGUGCACACAGCCCUUUUC